CUUCUCCAGCGGCAUGGCGAGGCGGGACGGGGCUUGAACCUUGAACUAAUAAUUACCUACGCGUGUUCACCAAGAAAGAGGACCUGUUUUCGAGUGACAUCUUGAGGUCCUACCAAGUUUAAAACGUGGAAAACCAGUGUUAAUCAUGCUGCGAACCAGAAAACUGUCUCGGCUUUCUUUCCUGAUGUCCCAUGCAUGGGCCUCCAACCACUGCUGGCUGCCGCUCUCCUACUGCAAGAUGCAUUUCAUCAGAAAGAAGCAUAAGUCAUCCAAGGUUGUCAAAUACAUCCAGUACAAAAAAGAGGAUAUCAAAUCUGAACAGAGUAAGAAAGAAGUUAACAAAAUACCAAAUAAGGUCUCUCUGGAGUUCCAAGGAAACAGUAAAUCUUACAAAACAUUGAAAACAAUACCUCCAGUUUCUCAAGAGAAAAGCUUUGCCAGAGUCCCCAUUGAAACUGCAGCAAAGACAGAAAUUGAGCAGGAAGAGUGUGAUGAUGUCCCAAAGAUACAAGUUGCCUCAGUGGGGGAGGUUCUGGAGAAGGUUGCAGAACUUUAUAAUGAAAACAGGAGAUUCUCUACUUUGCAAUUUGCAGAAAGCAAAAUGAAAAAUCCAAUAACAGGAAAUCAGUACUCUGGAAAGGGAAACAAAAUUAGAAUUAUUCAGAGUCAGAAAAAUGACCAUGGUAAGAUUCCUAAUAAUAAUAAGAAAAAAAUUGUUAAAUUUAGUAAUGCAAGAGCAAUGAGUGGUGAUACAUCAGUAAUGUGUCAUGGUAAUUCUGGUCCAGUUGAUACUGUUUCAGAAAAUCAUAUGGUUAAUCAAAUAGGAAAUGAUCCAGAAAUAAAAGAGGAAAAUAAUUCAGAGUUUAGCAGAACAACCACCAGUACAGAUGAUCUUGAUAAGCCUGUGUCAGAACAGGAAUUCCACAACAUUCGCAGAAAUCCUCUUGGCAUCCAAAUGUUGUCAGAAGGCAUCUAUAACCAAUUGUUUAAGGAAGUAACCAAUGAGGGCUGUGAAAAGGAGGAUCUGGAAAGAACCAAAGAACACUUACAGACUCAUGGGUUGUGGAACAAAAUUCCAUCAGUCAUACCCAGUGUGGAGUUUGAGUUGCCUGAAAUAGAAGGUAAUGAUUUAGACCAGCAUUUUCGUGUCAUAGCUGAGAAUCAGUGUUCUCAGUACAAAGAGCUGCUCAACACGCUGGUGGAAGAUGUUCCAAGUCUCCCAAAUAAGUGGGAGUUUGCUCCGGGCUGGACACGUUACCAUCCUGAUGGAAGUUGUUCAUCCGUGGAUUAUCCAGAAUGCAGUGCGAUAGUUUUUGAUGUGGAGGUUUGUGUUACGGAAGGCAACCAGCCUACCAUGGCCACAGCAGUGUCAAACAAAUACUGGUAUUCAUGGUGCUCUGAAGCACUCAUAAAUCCAGAUGUUCACUUUGAUGGGAGUGAGAUUAGAAUGGAAGAACUGAUUCCACUUGAAACUUCAAGCAGCAUGAAUCCAGUGCCCUCACACUCUGGGCGGGUUGUUGUGGGCCAUAAUGUUAGUUAUGAUCGCCUGCGAGUCCGGGAGCAGUAUUUGUUGAAGGAGACACCCCUUCGGUUUGUUGAUACAAUGUCCCUCCACAUUGCUGUUAGUGGACUAGUGUCAGAGCAGCGGGCCUUGCUGAUGAAAAACAAAGGUGAAAAAAAAAUUAGGCUGCCAUGGAUGUCUGUUGGUUGCCAGAACAGCCUGGUUGAAGUGUAUAAAUUUUAUUGCCGUCCUGAAAAGGGUCUAGAAAAAAGCACAAGAGAUGUGUUUGUUGAUGGUACCUUGAGUGAUGUAAGAGAAGACUUUCAGAAUCUGAUGAGUUAUUGUGCUACUGAUGUGACAGCAACUCAAAAGGUUCUGGCUAAGUUGUUACCAUUGUUUUAUGAGCGGUUUCCUCAUCCAGUAACAUUUUCUGGAAUGCUAGAGAUGGGCCUCACAUUUCUCCCUGUUACAAAGAACUGGGAAAAGUACAUUGAAGCUUCAGAAGUUCAGUAUCACCAAGUUGAGAGGCAGCUGAAUGAGGAGCUUGUGAAACAAGUCCAGGCAAGUCUUGGCUCUAUGAAGAAUAAAGAGUAUGAGAAUGAUCCCUGGCUAUGGAGCCUUGACUGGGCCCAACCCAAAGCUAGGGUGAAAAAACUGCCUGGCUACCCAAAUUGGUAUAGAAAGCUCUGUGCACGUACGGGUGAAAGAGAAGGCACUCCAGAGCCUGAAAACAUGAGUACCAGUUUGCAGAUUGUUCCAAAAAUUCUAAGAUUGACUUGGAAUGGAUUUCCACUACACCAUGAAAGGAAAUUUGGAUGGGGUUAUUUGAAACCUGUGUACCCCUCUUUCAAGGAUAUACCACAGUCUGAAUGGGAUUCCUAUGCAGUCAAUAACACUAGUGAACCAGUAUUUCCUGUGAAGGCUUUGUAUGAUAUUUGUAAUGAAAAUGUCACAAGACAGUCAACAGCUCUACAAGAUAUUUCUCAGUAUGAUGAAAACUUGAAUAUACAUGACCUAGAGUUAGGCAGCAAAAAUAAAGGCCCUACAAAGAAAACAGGAGGCACAACUAGUGAAGAGGGGAGCUUGAAGGAUAUAGGCAUCCCAGGGGUGGGGUUCGUUCCACUGCCACACAAGGACGGUGCAGGAUGUCGGGUUGGCAACCCAUUGGCCAAGGAUUUCCUGGGAAAGAUAGAAGAUGGCACAUUAACCAGUCACUUGGGUGAUGUUGCAAAGCUUGUGUUGGAGACCAGCAAGUCAUUGUCCUAUUGGAAGAACAACAGAGAUCGCAUCCUUUCUCAGAUGGUUGUGUGGAAUGAUCAUUCUGUCUUACCACAUGAAGUCACAUCACAUGAUGCCUACACGAGAGAGAACAAGUAUGGGAUCAUAGUGCCCAUGGUUGUCUCCGCUGGGACCAUCACCCGGCGGGCAGUGGAGCGGACCUGGAUGACAGCUUCCAAUGCCUACGCGGACCGAAUAGGCUCAGAGCUGAAGGCCAUGGUUGAGGCUCCGCCGGGUUAUAAAUUUGUUGGUGCUGAUGUAGACUCCCAGGAACUGUGGAUUGCAUCAUUAUUGGGAGAUGCAUACUUCACUGGAGAGCACGGGGCCACUGCUCUUGGCUGGAUGACUCUCCAAGGGAAGAAGAGUGAUGGAACAGACAUGCACAGCCACACGGCUCGCAGUGCUGGAAUUUCCCGAGACCAUGCCAAGGUCAUUAACUAUGGGAGAAUUUAUGGUGCUGGACUGCGAUUCAUCCAGAGGCUCCUGAAGCAGUAUAAUCCCAAACUGUCUGACCAAGAAACUAAAAGGAAAGCAGAACACUUGUUUGCAGUGACCAAGGGGGAGAAGGGCUGGUACCUGAAUGAGGUUGGGGAGCAGCUUGCCCUAGAUAUAGGUCAUCCUGUGCCUGAAGAACCCCUGCCUCGAAGGAAGAUCACAAAGCUCUUAUGGCAAGCCCGUGAGAGCAACUAUGGAGCUAGUUUUUCUGAGAUAGUGGAAACCCCUCCUGUGUGGAUUGGAGGAUCUGAGUCUCACAUGUUCAACUGCCUGGAGGCCAUCGCUCGGUGUGAAGAGCCAAAAACUCCAGUGCUGGGUGCUCGUAUGACUCGAGCCCUUGAGCCGUACUGGGUGGAUAACCAGUUCAUGACUAGCAGGGUGAACUGGGUGGUACAGAGCUCAGCGGUGGACUACCUGCACAUCAUGCUGGUGUGCAUGCGGUGGUUGUUCACCAAGUACGGCAUCUCCGGUCGCUUCUGCAUCAGCAUUCAUGAUGAGGUACGAUACUUAGUGGCGGAAGGAGACUGUCAUAGAGCAGCGCUGGCCCUCCAGAUCACCAACCUUCUUACACGGGCAUACUUUGCCAGCAGACUGGGGUUCAAAGACUUGCCGCAGUCUGUCGCCUUCUUCAGUGGUGUGGACAUUGACCAGGUGCUAAGAAAGGAGCCCCACAUGGACUGUGUUACUCCCUCCAACCCCCAGGGGUUGAUGAAGGGGUAUAGCAUCAAGCCAGGACUGACACUGGAUAUACAUGAAAUCAUAAAGUCAACUAAUGGGAAACUGACUAAAGCUGAUGCUGGCUGCUGUGAAGAGGCAGCUGAAAGUGAGGAUUGACAAAGUGCGCUGUAUGCAGAAGAAUCAAAAGGAAUCCAAUUUUGCAAGACGUGUAGUUUUACUUGCGAAGGCCAAAGUCAACGAAAUAGUUACGUUUGAACAGCUAUCCUAAAUGCAACUUUAUAAAUGCGAAUGAUUUACUGUUUUUAUACCUUUAUUUUCACCAAAGAUAUGGCAACUACGACAAAUAAAAUGAAGCAAAAUACUCACCAAUGAGUGAGAGAAAUGGAAGAAAAAACCCGCACACAUGUGAAUGCAUCUUGAGAUGCCAAAUACCAUCUAUAAACUGCAUUGCCAGUGACAGGAGCACUCAGUAGAGCGUGACGAUUCCGCAGCACCCAGCGACAGUAGGGCUGGGCAGACACUGGUACUGUUAGUACCAAUACUGCAAAGUGGUAAGCAAAGGGUCAAGAGUGAGAUGUGGGACAGCCCAAGAUGCCAUGCUGUGGACUGAGUAUCACCUUGUCACCAGGAUAGCAC
RNA transcript from Eriocheir sinensis (Chinese mitten crab), 4588 nucleotides. It is a transcript of the gene named DNA polymerase subunit gamma-1-like, with no coding region annotated. NCBI's taxonomy places the organism in Eukaryota, Metazoa, Arthropoda, Malacostraca, Decapoda, Varunidae. The record is from RefSeq and is a predicted model, not a curated record. The transcript has 11 exons.